AUGUUCUGCACCUUCCCCUCCCUUCCCCUACCCACACCCAUCCUCACACAUGCUCCUCCCUGCCCCUGACACUGACAACCUAGCAAUCACUAGGAGAAAAGCCUGGCAUGUGUGGGAGCCACCCUCAGAGAAGCUGUCCCGAAAGAGAGGUGCUAACUAGGUGAAGACAUAUGACUUUCUGAGCACUAUUUCUUAAUACUAAUGGAGGGAGAUUGUGGCAUGGAGCCAGGAAAGAGAAAAGGCAUGAAAAGAAGAACUAAUUUGGAGCUGGCGGGAUCGGUGAUAAUGAAACCUACCUUGCUGUUUCAUGUUGAGGAAUCACUGCGGGAAGGGUUGAUUUUGGCAGCAGGAGCCUGUACGCUGUGCUAAUUCUCCAUCUCAGGAAGAAACAGAAUCAUGAAGUCUAAAGAAACUGAGAGUCUUAAGAGCACAAGGCCACAUGAGCCAAUACCAGUACGCAUUCUCAACUCAUGGAAGACACAGACACUUAAGUCUCCACAAUAUUUCCACUACGGCAUGGCAUUUGCUGGGUGUAUUAGUCUGUUCUCACAUUGCUAUAAAGAACUACCUCAGACUGGGUAAUUUACAAAGAAAAGAGGUUUAAUUCACUCCUGAUUCUGCAGCCUGCACGGAAGCAUGGCUGGGGAGGCCUCAGGAAACUGACCAUCAUCAAUGGAAGAUGAAGAAGAAGGAGGCGCAUCUUACAUGGCCAGAGAAGGAGGAAGAGAAAGAAGGGGGAAGUGCUACACCCUUCUAAACAACUAGAUCACCCGAGAACUCACUGUCAUGAGAAUAGCAAGGGGAAAAUUUGUCCCCAGGAUCCAAUCACCUCCCACCAGGCCCCUCCUCCAACACUGGGAAUUGCAAUCUGCCAUGCGAUUUGGAUGGGGACACAGAGCUAAACCAUAUCAGUAGGUGACUAGUUAGUCAUUUUUUUCUUUUACACAGAAGCUAGUGUGGACAUAAAUUAUCAUAGCAUCAAAGAUACCUAGAGAUAAACCAAUUAAAAAUAUGCACAGGAUAUCAAAGUCAGGUCUAAAUAUUAUUGAAAGAAAUUGAAGAAGACCUAAAUAAAUUAAAAAAUACAUCACUUUUUUGAACUGGAAGGAUCUCAUCUCUGUAAAUAAGUCAAACCUCUCCAAAUUGAUCUACAGAAUCAAUAUAAUGCCAGUCUAAAUCCCAGGAAGGUGUUUUGAGGAAAUUGGCAGGCUAAUUCGAAAACUAAUAUAGGUAUGUCAAGUCUUAACAGUAACAGAGACAAUCUUGAAGAAAAAUGAAGUGGGAGGAUAUCAUGACUCACUUUUAAAAGUGCACCAAGUAAAACAGAGUGGCAUUUGUCAUGGGAUAGAAAAA
Molecule: long non-coding RNA, 1353 nt
Filed under: Rhinopithecus bieti (black snub-nosed monkey)
Lineage: Eukaryota; Metazoa; Chordata; Mammalia; Primates; Cercopithecidae
Description: lncRNA (ENSRBIG00000046688.1)
Source: RNAcentral